This is a long non-coding RNA of Sinocyclocheilus rhinocerous, 105 nucleotides long. RefSeq lists it as uncharacterized. The record is from RefSeq and is a predicted model, not a curated record. Lineage: Eukaryota; Metazoa; Chordata; Actinopteri; Cypriniformes; Cyprinidae. The transcript has 3 exons.
CCUAAAUAGCAGCAAAAGUGUUUUGUAAUACAAUAUGAACACAAUAAGUACAUUGUACUUAUUUGUUGAUGUAAGUAUACAGUAGUUAAGGCCACCACAACACAA